UGGGGAAUAUUGGGCAAUGGAUGCAAGUCUGACCCAGCCAUGCCGCGUGCCGGAUGAAGGCCCUCAGGUUUGUAAACGGCUUUUAUUCGGGAAGAAGAGCAUGGAUUCGCUCUUGUGUGACGGUACCGAAUGAAUAAGCACCGGCUAACUCCGUGCCAGCAGCCGCGGUAAUACGGAUGGUGCGAGCGUUGUCCGGAUUUAUUGGGUUUAAAGGGUGCGUAGGUGGCUUAAUAAGUCAGUGAUGAAAUACAGCCGCUCAACGGUUGAGGUGCCAUUGAUACUGUUAAGCUCGAGACAAGUGGAGGCUGCCGGAAUGGAUGGUGUAGCGGUGAAAUGCAUAGAUAUCAUCCAGAACACCGAUUGCGAAGGCAGGUGGCUACGUUUGAUUUGACACUGAGGCACGAGAGCAUGGGGAGCAAACA
RNAcentral lists this ribosomal RNA (422 nucleotides) under uncultured bacterium. RNAcentral describes it as "bacterial SSU rRNA". It matches the Rfam family "Bacterial small subunit ribosomal RNA", at positions 355 to 774 of the family's 1533-position model. The record is from RNAcentral.